RNAcentral lists this ribosomal RNA (497 nucleotides) under uncultured bacterium. RNAcentral's name for it is "partial 16S ribosomal RNA". It matches the Rfam family "Bacterial small subunit ribosomal RNA", at positions 28 to 507 of the family's 1533-position model. The record is from RNAcentral.
GAUGAACGCUGGCGGCGUGCCUAAUACAUGCAAGUCGAGCGAACAGACGAGAAGCUUGCUCCUCUGACGUUAGCGGCGGACGGGUGAGUAACACGUGGAUAACCUACCUAUAAGACUGGGAUAACUUCGGGAAACCGGAGCUAAUACCGGAUGAUAUAUUGAACCGCAUGGUUCAAUAGUGAAAGACGGUUUUGCUGUCACUUAUAGAUGGAUCCGCGCUGCAUUAGCUAGUUGGUAAGGUAACGGCUUACCAAGGCAACGAUGCGUAGCCGACCUGAGAGGGUGAUCGGCCACACGGGAACUGAGACACGGUCCAGACUCCUAAGGGAGGCAGCAGUAGGGAAUCUUCCGCAAUGGGCGAAAGCCUGACGGAGCAACGCCGCGUGAGUGAUGAAGGUCUUCGGAUCGUAAAACUCUGUUAUUAGGGAAGAACAAAUGUGUAAGUAACUAUGCACGUCUUGACGGUACCUAAUCAGAAAGCCACGGCUAACUACGUG